This 440-nucleotide ribosomal RNA is filed under the name uncultured bacterium. Its description in RNAcentral is "bacterial SSU rRNA". It matches the Rfam family "Bacterial small subunit ribosomal RNA", at positions 954 to 1392 of the family's 1533-position model. The record is from RNAcentral.
GCAUAACGCGAAGAACCUUACCUAGGCUUGACAUGCAUCUCUAAGCGCGUGAAAGCGCGUGACCCUUCGGGGGAUUUUGGCACAGGUGCUGCAUGGCCGUCGUCAGCUCGUGUCGUGAGAUGUUGGGUUAAGUCCCGCAACGAGCGCAACCCUUGUGAUUAGUUGCCAGCACGUCAUGGUGGGAACUCUAAUCAGACUGCCCAGAUCAACUGGGAGGAAGGUGGGGACGACGUCAGGUCAGUAUGGCCCUUACGCCUAGGGCUGCACACGUACUACAAUGCCCAGUACAAUGAGAACCGAGACCGCGAGGUGGAGGAAAUCUAAAAAACUGGGCCCAGUUCGGAUUGGAGGCUGCAACUCGCCUCCAUGAAGCCGGAAUCGCUAGUAAUGGCACAUCAGCUACGGUGCCGUGAAUACGUUCCCGGGUCUUGUACACACCG